Molecule: unclassified non-coding RNA, 848 nt
Filed under: Hevea brasiliensis (rubber tree)
Lineage: Eukaryota; Viridiplantae; Streptophyta; Magnoliopsida; Malpighiales; Euphorbiaceae
Source: RNAcentral
GUUUAUUCAUUUAUUUUUGGUAGGAUUGAAGUCCUUUUUGUUUGCUUGUUUGCUUAUUUGCUUUACUUAAGUAGUAUAGUCAGGUUCUUUUUGGUUUCUUGUUGAUUACCUGUUGCUCUGGUAGUAAAGGUUUUAGAUGACUUAUUUCUUUACCAACUGCUUUUGCUUUCUCAUAUGGCUGAAGAUUUCAAACUCAUUUUUUGUUUCUGCUGGAUGCAGAAUCAUAUGAUUCCUGAUACAUCAUAAGAACUUUCUUUGUUUCAUGAUACUUUUCAAUUUACCUUUUCAUUAGCUACUUGUAUAUUGAGUUUUAUUAACUCCACUCAGUGUUGGAACUUUUUGUGAAAUGUGAAUAAAAUAUUUAGCACCUUUCUCUGGUCUGUGCUCAUCCAAAGGAGUAUAUACUGUUUGUAAGGAAUCAACUUUAUCAUCAGUACAUGUGUAACUUAUUAUUUAUCCAAUGCACAUGUGCUGCUGUUGGCAUUAAAGCAGUUCUUAAUAUUUGGGUGUGUUAAAUACUUUGUUUUCCACUUUUCUUUUUGAUUGUUGAGAAAAGGGUUCAUACUUUGAUAGGAACUAGCAGAGCAUAUUUUGUUUAGUGCUGAGUCCUCUAAUGGAGGAAAUUUUGGCUUUGAAUGGAAAUAUGGGCUUUAAGUUUUGGCCGUGUGAACUUGUAUAGAUGCAGUUGGAACCAUUGUCAUUGUUGGCCUAUUAAAAGUUACCUUCCUGUAAGUCAAAACUUAUCUAGAACCCAUGAAGCUUCUAACCUGUGUGUUGAGUAUUUAAAAACAUGUUUCAUUCCUUCUAUUGGCAUAUUGAAUAUACUGGUUUAUUUAUACCAUCUUGCU